UCGCACUUCCAGUAGACCUAAAUCGCUGCGCUCAUGGAGCAUUCGGCUAUUUGGUGGGACAUAUGGUGCC
Molecule: small nucleolar RNA, 70 nt
Filed under: Drosophila pseudoobscura pseudoobscura
Lineage: Eukaryota; Metazoa; Arthropoda; Insecta; Diptera; Drosophilidae
Description: snoRNA:GA29950
Source: RNAcentral